ACACGUGAAAUCUUUGGCAAUCACAAAACGAACUGCAGAGCUUGUGAUUAGAAGGCAAUUUUACCUCAAGAAACAAAGACUUAGAUCUGAAGGCGGACCGAUACCGUCGAUCGGAGAAGGUUUGACCGUAAAUUAAGCCUCAUGGUGAUUCGGCGUCAUUAGCUUCGAUGAAGCGGUACAUAGCUUGCACGAAACCAGAAUUCAACUCCGAAUGAAGGUCAGCUUAAAACCUAUAAAUCAAAGAAAUUGGCGGGAAAGAAAAUAUCAAGAGUGAAGACUAACUAAAUUCGACUCAAUAUCACCCGGUACGGGAACUGCUAAAAUUAAUAUUGCCAUGACACAUUCUCUAUUCUGUUCAAUGUUCAAUGGCUGUUCUUUUAUGAUUUCGUUGAUACCAAAGUUGUCGAUGUCAAUGUCCUGCUAACUCGUCUUUGUUUAAAGAUGGAUUUAGUGUUUUUGACGGACAUUUAAGGGGACGGAUGCCAAAGAACUACAAGAGGUGACGGUAUAACGAGUUGUUGAUGGCCUUAGAUGAUCAGGGUUACAGGCACGAUGCACUAGAAACACCAUCGAUGAAUUCACCACUGCCCAUCAAAAUUGAAAUCAGACUUCAGCUAAAACCUAUGAUCGAUAUUGGAGGCUGUGUCCAACACUAUGUAUGAAGAAUUCCUGUUAAUCAUUAAUCGAAAGAUCUACAUGAUCACAUCCUUGUCCUUUUAACAUAUUGCCUGAUCGAAAGGCACAGUGAAGCCCUGAGAUCAGGCCGAUGAGAAACGUGGUGUAGUCUGGACGUCCGCACCGUCGACUGUCCCGUCGGCGUUGUUGAUAUUUACGCAUAUCUUAUAAUUCACUUCGGUGUUCGAUGCAUGGAGAUGUCAACCUCACCCAAACAUUUAGCGAAACUAAAUGCCAUAAAAAAUUUCCAUUGGUGAAUCUAGCAGAAAGAU
Molecule: non-coding RNA, 947 nt
Organism: Acanthosepion pharaonis
Lineage: Eukaryota; Metazoa; Mollusca; Cephalopoda; Sepiida; Sepiidae
Source: the annotation of a GenBank genome assembly